Capsicum annuum is the source of this 827-nucleotide long non-coding RNA. RefSeq lists it as uncharacterized. NCBI's taxonomy places the organism in Eukaryota, Viridiplantae, Streptophyta, Magnoliopsida, Solanales, Solanaceae. The transcript has 4 exons. The record is from RefSeq and is a predicted model, not a curated record.
GAUCCACAAAGGCCCAAUAUAUUGGUCAAAUGUAUACAUCAAUUACUUGAAAAAAUAUGGCCCAAAAUUAGUCAAUAAAUUCGUCCAAGAUCAGCUCCUAUUUAUGAAUUGAAAUCAGCAAAUUUUCUCAUUUUAACUUAGACAAAAUUUCCAGCUUUCUAUGUUUUUCUCUCUUGUUCUCUCUUGGCUAUGAAACAACCCUAUAAUUCCACAAGGGUUCUUGGGAUUGACCUUCCUUCCAAGCGAAAGGGAUUAAGCUAUUGAGGAAAUACACAUUAAGAUACUAAAAUAUCAAGGAAAUUAAGAUAAGUAAUCUAAAAGUGCGGGAAGUCGAGUUGGGCUGGUAUUGGAGUUUUACAACCAGGCACAAGUGCUUCCUAGGAGCCCAGGAUAUCCAUCUACUAUUGGUGAGCUCCAGUUUGCUUCGGGUCUUUUCGAGUUGGUUCUAUAUAUUUUUGGUAUUGUAUAAAAGUUAAUAGUAUGACGGGGUUUUGUCCCGACCUUAGCUAAAUUUUGUGUAUCGUCUAGAGGCUUUGUAGACCAAUGUAAAGUUAAGCAUGGUAGUGUGUUAUCUUGUAGAUGUUAUGGCCCCAACGGCCAAGUCUAUUAUGUAUAUAGUUUUAGUGCUUGUCGUUUAUAUUUUUUUUCAUUAAGGAAUUAUAUCCGUAUAUGGAAAAACCUUUGCCUAUUAUAGUUGCAUGCAUGUGAAUUCCAAGGUUAUAGGUUGGUUCUCUCGGGCCUUCACGGCUACAGGUGCCUGUUCCCCUCAAAAGGAUUUGAGGCGUGACAAAAGUGGUAUCAGAGCGAGUCAUCCUAGGGAGUCUACA